This is an RNA transcript of Felis catus (domestic cat), 2457 nucleotides long. RefSeq lists it as uncharacterized. Lineage: Eukaryota; Metazoa; Chordata; Mammalia; Carnivora; Felidae. The transcript is spliced from 6 exons. The record is from RefSeq and is a predicted model, not a curated record.
UCCAACCUCAAGAUUCCGCUUCAGGAGGUCCAGGGUGGUGAUGCCCAUCUGCUACCACACUUGGUAACAUCCAGAGAAGCUCCAUGUGUCCAAAUGUCCUAGCUGCGGACACUCGGUUGGCCGCUUGGCUGGCGAACACUUACAUCUUGGAGCUUCCAGUGCAGCCCCACCUGGAUCCCACCCCUCUAAUCUGAAGACCCCAGUAAUGUCUAAGGAGAGAAAUAAAGACAACUUUUUUUUUUUUAAUCCCUAUCCCAACUGGAAUGGACUGGGAGAAGGAAACCUUGACCUUUGCUGCUCCGUCAGCCGUUGGGAGGCCCCAUGCCCAGGACUGGGAGCAUCGGGGCAGGGCAGUUCCCAAGAACAGAGUGACCCAUUUGGCCGAGCCAGGUCAAGCCAAGAGUGAACGUCUUAAGAAAUUUGAGCACUUCAUGCCCUUCCAGUACUGCUCAGGUUCCAGCCUAGCCCAACUGACUUCCGCUGCUGCUGCUCUGGGCUCUGACUGUCCCACUGUUGUUACCACCGAAGUACUGGGCUUGAACUCGAGUUAAGAAGGCCACACGUGGAGACAGAGGGAAGGCAAGAAGGUGACGAGAAGACAGGAGGGUUGAAUUUGAACAGGGAAAAGAUCAAAAGUAAAGCCAGAAUCCUACUUGCUCUUUUUUCCAUUCUCCUUUAUUCCAUAAACACCUAGUUACAAGUUGCACAAAUCAAAAAAUAAAGGCAGAGAAGGGUGUAGGGAAGGUUUCUGUGAUGUGCAGGGAGUGGGAAGGGAGAAAGGGUUGGGAGCCAGUCCUCUCCCUCCACACACAGCCCUGGAUAAGGGCUAUGGCCUCUGCAGUGGGGGAUCUGAGGAGGAGGUGGGCAAAGAUCCAGGGCAGCUGAGGGAUAGAGGAAGCCCCUAAACCCAGAGCUCACCCCAAAAGCCCCUUCGAUGCAUGGCGAGGGUAGAAAGGGGAAGGUGAGGAGGCUCAAAGAUGGAGCAGCAAAAUGAAAAAUCAAGUUAGCAGAUACAGGAGAAGUGGACUCGUCAUGGUAGGGGAUUAAAGAAGGAAAAAGUAGGUAAAGGGGGCAGUGAAAGGUUCUCCCUGAGACCCCCAGGGAGAGGUGGGGGGCCAGCUUGCCUGUUAAUUUAAUAUUAAAUUGGGAGUGGGAGCUGGAGAGGAAAAAGUUAUUUGGGGGAUGAUUUCUCAGCCUCUCAGCCUGUACCUGGAAGGGAAAGAGAGAAGAGCGAGUCAAAAGACAAAACGUAAAGGCCAGGAGUUGGGUUUACUCUCCCAUUCCAGUGGCAGCAUUCUUCUCUUCACACCAACUAAAACUUACACCAUCAAAGGCAGUAAUUGCUGGGCACCUGGACUCCUUCUGCCUCAUGACAAAGGAAUGUGCACAGGUACGUGCCUCAACCCCCCCCCUCCGUGCUUGACACCUUACAAUUCCUCCCUCUCAAUACUUACAAGAGAGGCUGAGGGCCUAGGGCCCUCACCAGUCAUAGCGGCGGGACUGUCGGGAGGGGGAGUCCUCAGGUCCCUGUAUAGCCAGGCGGGGAGGCCCCUCAGCCCUUCGUCCCCCACCCCCUGAAGCCUCAUGCCGUCGAAAUUCCAAAGGGCGCUGCUGCCGGAAUCGGGAUGUCUCCCUCCGCCAUUCAUCAUCAAAUGCUGCAGCCUCACCUGAAGAGCACAGAGACCAGACGUGACAUUUAAAUAUACAGGCUGGCUUCUGGAAGCUGAGGCAAGCGUGAGCCACAGCCUUCUCAGCUCGCAGGAACAGGACCAGUGGCUACCGGCCCAGGAGCCAGAAGGGUGAUGAGAAGAAAAGAAGGCUCACUCUCAUCCAGGUUGAUAUAAUCCUGCCGCUCCUCCUGGUCCCCUGUGCGGUGGUUUCGGGAGCGCUGGAGGAUGUGAGCCCGGUCUCGGAUGUGAUGCCCGAUGGACAUCUGCUCUAGCCCACUGUCCGAGUCCCGUACGGUCCUGCGAGUCUCCCGGAUCUGGGAGGAGGCAGAACACAGCACACAGCUGUCCCUUCCAAAGCCUGGCUACACCAAGCCGGGAUAGACAAACCACCCCCAACCCAAUGAUGAAAAAAGAAGCCAGGGUUUCUGUGCGUGUCAUUCAACCCUGCGUUCUCUGGGAUAUCAGAAGCCCUUCAACUCACCCCGCCUGGUGCCGAGCGCAUCUCUGACGUCUCCUGGUAGACCUUGGGGGCACCAUCACCCGUAUUGGAGUAGGAGAUGACAGUGGAGGAUGAAAAGGUCUGGCAAUUGCCUCCAGCUGUCAUGUGUUCCUGUGGAGGAAAACACACAGCAGGACUGAACGGUCCCUCUGGCGAAGGGAUCCCACAUUUCAGCUGCCUGUUCCUGUCUGUAUCUUUCUUACAAAACAUGAGAAAUGAGAAAACAUCAGGACUCAUCAGUACCCCCCAAAUUCCUCUGAGUCCAACAAUAAACAAGAAAGACCUUUA